Molecule: transfer RNA, 73 nt
Filed under: Schizocladia ischiensis
Lineage: Eukaryota; Schizocladiophyceae; Schizocladiales; Schizocladiaceae
Description: tRNA-Gly
Rfam family: tRNA
About the family: Transfer RNA (tRNA) molecules are approximately 80 nucleotides in length. Their secondary structure includes four short double-helical elements and three loops (D, anti-codon, and T loops).
Source: RNAcentral
GCGGGCAUAUAUCAAUUGGUUAGAUUAUCUGCCUUCCAAGCAGGAGAUAUGAGUUCAAAUCUCAUUGCCCGCA